Long non-coding RNA from Eleginops maclovinus (Patagonian blennie), 787 nucleotides. RefSeq lists it as uncharacterized. The record is from RefSeq and is a predicted model, not a curated record. The transcript has 3 exons. Lineage: Eukaryota; Metazoa; Chordata; Actinopteri; Perciformes; Eleginopidae.
AAAUGUUCUCGACACGCCCAUUUUACCAAGGAUGCAUCGGAUGCUAACUUGUGUUAACUCGGCAGCGAAUAUAUCCCAGCAUUCAUUUCGGCAUUCAAGCGAGGAGCGGAAAAUUACUCGACGCCAUUGAACAACGGGUCACGGAGGUAACAGCUCCAGCAGAGAGCUCCACACUUCUCUUUCCCUGGCCACAUCCACCAGCUCUGACUGGGGGAUUCCAAGGCGCUCCCAGGCCAGCGAAGAGAUAUAAUCCCUCCACCUGGUCCUAGGUCUACCCCUCGGUCUCUUCCCAGGUGCAGCUCGUGUGAACCUCGUCUGAGCCUCGUUGCAGCAACGCAGCACACCUGGGCAGAGACAUCAGAGGGGAGAGACACAGGGAAUACAAACCGCCGUAACCAACAUGGAUGUUUUGUUUAAACCUCAUGCUAUGAUGUUCAGUGUUUUACAUUUGGUCAGUUUUCAGUACUCUGAAGCCUCCUUGUUGUCUGGUCUGCUCCUGUCUGACCUGAUCAUGUUUGUUUUACUUCCUGUAUCCGUUUUAAAUUAAAAGCACUCUAGCUUUUCAGUGUAGCUAUUUAACAAAAAACAGGGCUGUUUAAUUUUGGUUAUACACCAUCUGGUGUUUCAAUAAAUACAUGUUUUAUAGCCCAACUUCUCCUCAGUACAGUACCAGCUUACUCCUUUGUUUACAACACAAAGCUUUAACACAGUAGAAAACAAUCACAGAAAGGUUUUACGCACCAUGGAGUCAAAACCUUUAAGAAAUAAAAUCAAAUGAUAAAGCUUC